Molecule: ribosomal RNA, 254 nt
Filed under: uncultured bacterium
Lineage: Bacteria
Description: partial 16S ribosomal RNA
Rfam family: Bacterial small subunit ribosomal RNA
Source: RNAcentral
CACGUAGGGUGCGAGCGUUGUCCGGAAUUAUUGGGCGUAAAGAGCUCGUAGGCGGUGUGUCACGUCGGCCGUGAAAACCUACAGCUUAACUGUGGGCGUGCGGUCGAUACGGGCAUCACUGGAGUUCGGCAGGGGAGACUGGAAUUCCUGGUGUAGCGGUGAAAUGCCCAGAUAUCAGGAGGAACACCGGUGGCGAAGGCGGGUCUCUGGGCCGUAACUGACGCUGAGGAGCGAAAGCAUGGGGAGCGAACAGG